Molecule: ribosomal RNA, 253 nt
Filed under: uncultured bacterium
Lineage: Bacteria
Description: partial 16S ribosomal RNA
Rfam family: Bacterial small subunit ribosomal RNA
Source: RNAcentral
UACGAAGGGGGCUAGCGUUGCUCGGAAUCACUGGGCGUAAAGGGUGCGUAGGCGGGUCUUUAAGUCAGAGGUGAAAUCCUGGAGCUCAACUCCAGAACUGCCUUUGAUACUGAGGAUCUUGAGUUCGGGAGAGGUGAGUGGAACUGCGAGUGUAGAGGUGAAAUUCGUAGAUAUUGGGAAGAACACCGGUGGCGAAGGCGGCUCUCUGGACCGAGACUGACGCUGAGGCGCGAAAGCGUGGGGAGCAAACAGG